Molecule: ribosomal RNA, 2639 nt
Filed under: Klebsiella pneumoniae subsp. pneumoniae
Lineage: Bacteria; Pseudomonadati; Pseudomonadota; Gammaproteobacteria; Enterobacterales; Enterobacteriaceae
Description: bacterial LSU rRNA
Rfam family: Bacterial large subunit ribosomal RNA
Source: RNAcentral
ACUAUCGUUAACUGAAUACAUAGGUUAACGAGGCGAACCGGGGGAACUGAAACAUCUAAGUACCCCGAGGAAAAGAAAUCAACCGAGAUUCCCCCAGUAGCGGCGAGCGAACGGGGAGCAGCCCAGAGUCUGAAUCAGCUUGUGUGUUAGUGGAACGGUCUGGAAAGUCCGACGGUACAGGGUGAUAGUCCCGUACACCAAAAUGCACAGGUUGUGAACUCGAAGAGUAGGGCGGGACACGUGGUAUCCUGUCUGAAUAUGGGGGGACCAUCCUCCAAGGCUAAAUACUCCUGACUGACCGAUAGUGAACCAGUACCGUGAGGGAAAGGCGAAAAGAACCCCGGCGAGGGGAGUGAAAAAGAACCUGAAACCGUGUACGUACAAGCAGUGGGAGCACCUUCGGGUGUGACUGCGUACCUUUUGUAUAAUGGGUCAGCGACUUAUAUUCUGUAGCAAGGUUAACCGUAUAGGGGAGCCGCAGGGAAACCGAGUCUUAACUGGGCGUUAAGUUGCAGGGUAUAGACCCGAAACCCGGUGAUCUAGCCAUGGGCAGGUUGAAGGUUGGGUAACACUAACUGGAGGACCGAACCGACUAAUGUUGAAAAAUUAGCGGAUGACUUGUGGCUGGGGGUGAAAGGCCAAUCAAACCGGGAGAUAGCUGGUUCUCCCCGAAAGCUAUUUAGGUAGCGCCUCGUGAAUUCAUCUUCGGGGGUAGAGCACUGUUUCGGCUAGGGGGUCAUCCCGACUUACCAACCCGAUGCAAACUACGAAUACCGAAGAAUGUUAUCACGGGAGACACACGGCGGGUGCUAACGUCCGUCGUGAAGAGGGAAACAACCCAGACCGCCAGCUAAGGUCCCAAAGUCAUGGUUAAGUGGGAAACGAUGUGGGAAGGCACAGACAGCCAGGAUGUUGGCUUAGAAGCAGCCAUCAUUUAAAGAAAGCGUAAUAGCUCACUGGUCGAGUCGGCCUGCGCGGAAGAUGUAACGGGGCUAAACCAUGCACCGAAGCUGCGGCAGCGACACUAUGUGUUGUUGGGUAGGGGAGCGUUCUGUAAGCCUGCGAAGGUGACCUGUGAGGGUUGCUGGAGGUAUCAGAAGUGCGAAUGCUGACAUAAGUAACGAUAAAGCGGGUGAAAAGCCCGCUCGCCGGAAGACCAAGGGUUCCUGUCCAACGUUAAUCGGGGCAGGGUGAGUCGACCCCUAAGGCGAGGCCGAAAGGCGUAGUCGAUGGGAAACAGGUUAAUAUUCCUGUACUUGGUGUUACUGCGAAGGGGGGACGGAGAAGGCUAUGUUAGCCGGGCGACGGUUGUCCCGGUUUAAGCAUGUAGGCUGGUUGUCCAGGCAAAUCCGGAUAAUCAAGGCUGAGGUGUGAUGACGAGGCACUACGGUGCUGAAGUAACAAAUGCCCUGCUUCCAGGAAAAGCCUCUAAGCAUCAGGUAACAUCAAAUCGUACCCCAAACCGACACAGGUGGUCAGGUAGAGAAUACCAAGGCGCUUGAGAGAACUCGGGUGAAGGAACUAGGCAAAAUGGUGCCGUAACUUCGGGAGAAGGCACGCUGGUGUGUAGGUGAAGCCCCUGCGGGUGGAGCUGAGACCAGUCGAAGAUACCAGCUGGCUGCAACUGUUUAUUAAAAACACAGCACUGUGCAAACACGAAAGUGGACGUAUACGGUGUGACGCCUGCCCGGUGCCGGAAGGUUAAUUGAUGGGGUUAUCCGUAAGGAGAAGCUCUUGAUCGAAGCCCCGGUAAACGGCGGCCGUAACUAUAACGGUCCUAAGGUAGCGAAAUUCCUUGUCGGGUAAGUUCCGACCUGCACGAAUGGCGUAAUGAUGGCCAGGCUGUCUCCACCCGAGACUCAGUGAAAUUGAACUCGCUGUGAAGAUGCAGUGUACCCGCGGCAAGACGGAAAGACCCCGUGAACCUUUACUAUAGCUUGACACUGAACAUUGAGCCUUGAUGUGUAGGAUAGGUGGGAGGCUUUGAAGCGUGGACGCCAGUCUGCGUGGAGCCAACCUUGAAAUACCACCCUUUAAUGUUUGAUGUUCUAACGUUGGCCCCUUACCGGGGUUGCGGACAGUGUCUGGUGGGUAGUUUGACUGGGGCGGUCUCCUCCCAAAGCGUAACGGAGGAGCACGAAGGUUAGCUAAUCCUGGUCGGACAUCAGGAGGUUAGUGCAAUGGCAUAAGCUAGCUUGACUGCGAGCGUGACGGCGCGAGCAGGUGCGAAAGCAGGUCAUAGUGAUCCGGUGGUUCUGAAUGGAAGGGCCAUCGCUCAACGGAUAAAAGGUACUCCGGGGAUAACAGGCUGAUACCGCCCAAGAGUUCAUAUCGACGGCGGUGUUUGGCACCUCGAUGUCGGCUCAUCACAUCCUGGGGCUGAAGUAGGUCCCAAGGGUAUGGCUGUUCGCCAUUUAAAGUGGUACGCGAGCUGGGUUUAGAACGUCGUGAGACAGUUCGGUCCCUAUCUGCCGUGGGCGCUGGAGAAUUGAGGGGGGCUGCUCCUAGUACGAGAGGACCGGAGUGGACGCAUCACUGGUGUUCGGGUUGUCAUGCCAAUGGCACUGCCCGGUAGCUAAAUGCGGAAGAGAUAAGUGCUGAAAGCAUCUAAGCACGAAACUUGCCCCGAGAUGAGUUCU